Molecule: ribosomal RNA, 253 nt
Filed under: uncultured bacterium
Lineage: Bacteria
Description: partial 16S ribosomal RNA
Rfam family: Bacterial small subunit ribosomal RNA
Source: RNAcentral
UACGGGGGGUGCGAGCGUUGUCCGGAAUCACUGGGCGUAAAGGGCGCGUAGGUGGUUUGAUAAGGGUGUGGUGAAAGUCCGGGGCUCAACCCCGGAUCUGCCGUGCCGACUGUCAAACUCGAGGACUGUAGAGGCAGACGGAAUUCCGGGUGUAGCGGUGGAAUGCGUAGAGAUCCGGAGGAAGACCGGUGGCGAAGGCGGUCUGCUGGGCAGUUACUGACACUGAGGCGCGACAGCGUGUGGAGCAAACAGG